This 450-nucleotide ribosomal RNA is filed under the name uncultured organism. Its description in RNAcentral is "partial 16S ribosomal RNA". It matches the Rfam family "Bacterial small subunit ribosomal RNA", at positions 333 to 799 of the family's 1533-position model. The record is from RNAcentral.
ACACUCCUGCGGGAGGCAGCAGUGGGGAAUAUUGGACAAUGGGCGCAAGCCUGAUCCAGCCAUGCCGCGUGAGUGAUGAAGGCCCUAGGGUUGUAAAGCUCUUUCACCGGAGAAGAUAAUGACGGUAUCCGGAGAAGAAGCCCCGGCUAACUUCGUGCCAGCAGCCGCGGUAAUACGAAGGGGGCUAGCGUUGUUCGGAAUUACUGGGCGUAAAGCGCACGUAGGCGGAUCGAUCAGUCAGGGGUGAAAUCCCAGGGCUCAACCCUGGAACUGCCUUUGAUACUGUCGAUCUGGAGUAUGGAAGAGGUGAGUGGAAUUCCGAGUGUAGAGGUGAAAUUCGUAGAUAUUCGGAGGAACACCAGUGGCGAAGGCGGCUCACUGGUCCAUUACUGACGCUGAGGUGCGAAAGCGUGGGGAGCAAACAGGAUUAGAAACCCCAGUAGUCCCAUG